GACGAACGCUGGCGGCGUGCCUAAUACAUGCAAGUCGAACGCAGUGGGGACGGGUGAGUAACACGUGGGUAACCUCCCAUCAGAGGGGAUAACACUUGGAAACAGGUGCUAAACCGAUACUGAUGGAUGGAACCGCGGUGCAUUAGCUAGUUGGUGCGGUAAAGGCUCACCAAGGCCACGAUGCAUAGCCGCCUUGAGAUGGGUGUUGGCCACACUGUGACUGAGCCACUGCCCAGACGCCUACGGGAGGCAGCAGUAGGGAAUCUUCGGCAAUGGACGAAAGUCUUACCGAGCAACUCCGCGUGAGUGAAGAAGUUUUUCGGAUCGUAAAACUCUGUUGUUAGAGAAGCGGUAUCUAACCAGAAAGCCACGGCUAACUACGUGCCAGCAGCCGCGGUAAUUC
RNAcentral lists this ribosomal RNA (403 nucleotides) under uncultured bacterium. RNAcentral describes it as "partial 16S ribosomal RNA". It matches the Rfam family "Bacterial small subunit ribosomal RNA", at positions 28 to 526 of the family's 1533-position model. The record is from RNAcentral.